RNAcentral lists this ribosomal RNA (777 nucleotides) under uncultured Neocallimastigales. RNAcentral's name for it is "partial large subunit ribosomal RNA". It matches the Rfam family "Eukaryotic large subunit ribosomal RNA", at positions 22 to 635 of the family's 3401-position model. Lineage: Eukaryota; Fungi; Neocallimastigomycota; Neocallimastigomycetes; Neocallimastigales. The record is from RNAcentral.
GUACACGCUGUGACUAGCAUAUCAAUAAGCGGAGGAAAAGAAACUAACAAGGAUUCCCCUAGUAACGGCGAGUGAAGCGGGAAGAGCUCAAAUUUGAAAUCUUAAAGGGUUUCCCUUUACGAAUUGUAGUUUAAAGAAGUGUUUUCUGUUGAGGUUUUGGUAAAAGUUCUUUGGAAUAGGACAUCAUAGAGGGUGAGAAUCCCGUAUUUGACCUUUACUUUCAACUUUGUGAUACACUUUCAAAGAGUCGGAUUGUUUGGGAAUGCAGUCCAAAAUGGGUGGUAAAUUUCAUCUAAAGCUAAAUAUUGGCGAGAGACCGAUAGCGAACAAGUACCGUGAGGGAAAGAUGAAAAGAACUAUUGAAAAGAGAGUUAAACAGUACGUGAAAUUGUCAAAAGGGAAGCGUUUGACACCAGUGUUGUUUUUCUGAAAAUCAAUUAAAGAACUGUUUAUGCUAAGCUUGUUUAGACUUUAUCAGCUAAUCUGUUUAGUUUUGAGCUUUUCUUUAAUGCACUUUUCAGUUAACAAGUCAACAUCAAUUUCUUUUGCUGUAAAAAAGCUUGAGGAAGGUGGCUUGAGAUUCGUCUUAAGUGUUUAUAGCCUCUUGCCUAUGCAGUCGGAGAGAUUGAGGUCUGCAGCGUAGAUCCUUCGGGGCUAAAUGCAUUUGUGCUAAGUUAUAGCAUUUUAUAGACAACUUGUUGACUAUGAUUUGUCUUGUAGCUUACUCGCUUAUGUUAUUUUACCUACGCUUAGGAUGUUGAAGAUGUAGCACAUCAU